CUACGUGCCAGCAGCCGCGGUAAUACGGAGGGUGCGAGCGUUAAUCGGAAUAACUGGGCGUAAAGGGCACGCAGGCGGUGACUUAAGUGAGGUGUGAAAGCCCCGGGCUUAACCUGGGAAUUGCAUUUCAUACUGGGUCGCUAGAGUACUUUAGGGAGGGGUAGAAUUCCACGUGUAGCGGUGAAAUGCGUAGAGAUGUGGAGGAAUACCGAAGGCGAAGGCAGCCCCUUGGGAAUGUACUGACGCUCAUGUGCGAAAGCGUGGGGAGCAAACAGGAUUAGAUACCCUGGUAGUCCACGCUGUAAACGAUGUCGAUUUGGGGGUUGAGCUUUGAGCUUGGCGCCCGUAGCUAACGUGAUAAAUCGACCGCCUGGGGAGUACGGCCGCAAGGUUAAAACUCAGAUGAAUUGACGGGGGCCCGCACAAGCGGUGGAGCAUGUGGUUUAAUUCGAUGCAACGCGAAGAACCUUACCUACUCUUGACAUCCAGA
RNAcentral lists this ribosomal RNA (490 nucleotides) under uncultured bacterium. RNAcentral's name for it is "bacterial SSU rRNA". It matches the Rfam family "Bacterial small subunit ribosomal RNA", at positions 501 to 992 of the family's 1533-position model. The record is from RNAcentral.